This 639-nucleotide ribosomal RNA is filed under the name Triticum aestivum (bread wheat). Its description in RNAcentral is "partial small subunit ribosomal RNA". The record is from RNAcentral. Lineage: Eukaryota; Viridiplantae; Streptophyta; Magnoliopsida; Poales; Poaceae.
AUGGCCACCAACAAAGCACCAGGACCGGACAAUAUUCCGGUGGAAUUUUAUCAAUCAUGUUGGGAGAUAGUAAAAGAGGAUAUUAUGUCCUUGUUUAGGCAUUUCCAUAGUGGGACGCUUGAUGUUCAACGUCUCAACUAUGAGGUGAUUACGUUGCUACCCAAAAUAUCUAGUGUUGACAAAAUUCAGCAGUUUAGGUCGAUAUGCCUCUUGAGAUGUCCAUAUAAGCUCAUUGCAAAGGUAAUAGACCGUAGGGUUGAAGUGUAUGCCGAUAAGUUGAUCAGUUCCACUCAAAAUGCUUUUGUGAAGCGGAGAAACAUCAUGGAUGGGGUGCUAUCUCUCCACGAAAUCCUUAACUAUACUCAUGUUAAAAAGAGAGUGGGCAUUGUGUUGAAACUCGACUUUGAAAAAGACAUGACAAAGUCAACUGGGAAUUCCUUCUGGAAUGUCAUAGGUUGCGAGGCUUUAAUGAUACUUGGUGUGGUUGGGUCAAACAAAUUUUGUAUAACGGCACAGUUAGCAUCAAACUUAAUAAAUGGGUUGGACCCUACGUACUUUCAGAGUGCUAAAGGAGUGUGGCAGGGUGAUCCCCACUCCCCAUUCCUGUUUAACUGGCUGCCGAGUGUUUGGCCAAAAUGA